CAGGAUGAACGCUGGCGGCGUGCCUAAUACAUGCAAGUCGAGCGAGAAUCUGAAGAUCUGCGAUUCGUCAAAGAGAUCAGAGGAAAGCGGCGGACGGGUGAGUAACGCGUAGGCAACCUGCCCCUAGCAGAGGGAUAGCCAUUGGAAACGAUGAUUAAAACCUCAUAAUGCUGUUUUAACACAUGUUGAGACAGCCAAAGAUUUAUCGGCUGGGGAUGGGCCUGCGUCUGAUUAACUAGUUGGUGAGGUAACGGCCCACCAAGGUGACGAUCAGUAGCCGACCUGAGAGGGUGAUCGGCCACAUUGGAACUGAGACACGGUCCAAACUUCUACGGAAGGCAGCAGUAAGGAAUCUUGCACAAUGGGGGAAACCCUGAUGCAGCAACGCCGCGUGAACGAUGAAGGCCUUAGGGUUGUAAAGUUCUGAUCUGGGGGAAGAAGAAGUGACGGUACCCCAGGAGAAAGCCCCGGCUAAAUACGUGCCAGCAGCAGC
RNAcentral lists this ribosomal RNA (493 nucleotides) under uncultured bacterium. Its description in RNAcentral is "bacterial SSU rRNA". It matches the Rfam family "Bacterial small subunit ribosomal RNA", at positions 25 to 518 of the family's 1533-position model. The record is from RNAcentral.